UUAAGUCAGCGGGUAUCCCUACCUGAUCCGAGGUCAAGAGUGUAAAAAUGUACUUUUGGACGUCGUCGUUAUGAGUGCAAAGCGCGAGAUGUACUGCGCUCCGAAAUCAAUACGCCGGCUGCCAAUUGUUUUGAGGCGAGUCUACACGCAAAGGCGAGACAAACACCCAACACAAGCAGAGCUUGAAGGUACAAAUGACG
Molecule: unclassified non-coding RNA, 200 nt
Filed under: Pleosporales sp.
Lineage: Eukaryota; Fungi; Ascomycota; Dothideomycetes; Pleosporales
Description: partial internal transcribed spacer 2
Source: RNAcentral